RNAcentral lists this long non-coding RNA (521 nucleotides) under Anser brachyrhynchus (Pink-footed goose). Its description in RNAcentral is "lncRNA (ENSABRG00000019597.1)". Lineage: Eukaryota; Metazoa; Chordata; Aves; Anseriformes; Anatidae. The record is from RNAcentral.
AUCACGCUGCACGGCGCUUCCAAGUAUGAACAAACCUAAACGAAGACAGCUGGCAGGGGCUCUCGUCAUCUAACUCCUUCCAGAUCAUCUCCACCAGGACAGGCAAGGUGUUGGGGGGCAUCUGGGCUCGCAGCAGCAUGGCUGCAGCUCUCUAUCCUUCCUGGGGUGAGUGAGCAGGUCGGCAUGAGCUGGCGGCUUGUUGGCACCUCUCCUCCCUACGUGGAGCUGGGCCCGGGGAGCUGCAGCAGGCUGGGAGAGGAAAGAGGCGAUAAGCCGCGUCCCCGCCACGCGAUACGCGGGGAUUACGUGCGUGAGGCACCUGAGCUGGCACGCUCUGUCCCGGCACUGGCUGUGCUUGCAGCGAGGUGUGCUGGGGGCUGGUCGUCUCGGGCAUGACUCAGGCUGAUGAGCCCGCUCCUGUCCCGACAGGAACACCUCGCUGGAAGGUGUCUUUGCCUCCUGGAGGCUGGCUUGUUCCUGCUGCCAUCUCGCGUGGGUGCUUGGUGAGCCACCCGUGUGCA